This 63-nucleotide transfer RNA is filed under the name Nematostella vectensis (starlet sea anemone). It matches the Rfam family "tRNA", at positions 5 to 66 of the family's 71-position model. From Rfam's summary of the family: Transfer RNA (tRNA) molecules are approximately 80 nucleotides in length. Their secondary structure includes four short double-helical elements and three loops (D, anti-codon, and T loops). Lineage: Eukaryota; Metazoa; Cnidaria; Anthozoa; Actiniaria; Edwardsiidae. The record is from Rfam by way of RNAcentral.
UGAUUGUAUACUGGUUAGUACAUUGCGUUGUUGCCGCAAUAACCCAGGUUCGAAUCCUGAUCA